GACGAACGCUGGCGGCGUGCUUAACACAUGCGAGUCGAACGGAAAGGCCCUGCUUUUGUGGGGUGCUCGAGUGGCGAACGGGUGAGUAACACGUGAGUAACCUGCCCUUGACUUUGGGAUAACUUCAGGAAACUGGGGCUAAUACCGGAUAGGAGCUCCUGCUGCAUGGUGGGGGUUGGAAAGUUUCGGCGGUUGGGGAUGGACUCGCGGCUUAUCAGCUUGUUGGUGGGGUAGUGGCUUACCAAGGCUUUGACGGGUAGCCGGCCUGAGAGGGGGACCGGCCAAAUUGGGACUGAGAUACGGCCCAGACUCCUACGGGAGGCAGCAGUGGGGAAUAUUGCACAAUGGGCGGAAGCCUGAUGCAGCAACGCCGCGUGCGGGAUGACGGCCUUCGGGUUGUAAACCGCUUUCGCCUGUGACGAAGCGUGAGUGACGGUAAUGGGUAAAGAAGCACCGGCUAACUACGUG
RNAcentral lists this ribosomal RNA (468 nucleotides) under uncultured bacterium. Its description in RNAcentral is "partial 16S ribosomal RNA". It matches the Rfam family "Bacterial small subunit ribosomal RNA", at positions 28 to 507 of the family's 1533-position model. The record is from RNAcentral.